UAUCUCAUGUGCUUGCCGGCGAAGAUGUGAUAGAAUUCCACGACUAAACGAUCGUUCGAACGAAUGUUGCGAUUAAAAAAGUGAUUUACGAUGAACCUAACUGCAGGAAAUCCUCAUGGGAACGGCUUGCUUUAUGCUGGUUUCAAUCAGAAUCAAGGAUAUUUCGCUUGUGGUAUGGAAAAUGGCUUCAGAAUAUACAGUUGUGAUCCUUUAAAGGCAAAGGCACGUCAUUUGAGUGAUGGAGGUGUUGGUUAUGUGGAAAUGCUAUUUAAAUCUAAUUAUUUAGCAUUAGUUGGUAGUGGAGUAAAACCAAUGUAUCCAACAAAUAAAGUUAUAAUAUGGGAUGAUCUUAAAAAGUCAUCAGCAAUUACAUUAGAGUUCAAUGCUCCUGUAAAGGGUGUUAAAUUGAGAAGAGAUAGGGUAGUAGUAAUUUUAGAAGGAGUUAUAAAAGUUUACACAUUUACGCAAAAUCCACAACAACUUCAUGUAUUUGAGACUAAUCCAAAUCCCAGAGGUCUGUGUGUAUUAUGUCCAAAUAGUAGCAACUCUUUGCUUGCUUUUCCUGGUAGAAAGAACGGACAUGUCCAAGUAAUAGAUUUGGCUAAUACAGAAAAGCAGUCAUUAAAUAUUGAAGCACAUGAAACACCAUUGUCAUGCAUAGCUUUAAAUUUACAAGGUACUAGAUUAGCUACAGCUUCAGAAAAGGGAACCUUAAUAAGAGUAUUUGAAACCCAGACUGGAAAUAUGAUUAAUGAGUUAAGAAGAGGAGCUAAUCAUGCAAAUAUUUAUUGCAUUAAUUUUAAUCAUGAUUCCACUUGGUUGUGUGUGGCAAGUGAUCAUGGAACUGUUCAUGUUUUUGCUGUAGAAGAUCAGAAAUUAAAUCGUCAAUCUAGUUUAGCAUCUGCUACUUUUCUGCCAAAAUAUUUUAGUUCAAGCUGGAGCUUUUGUAAGUUUCAAGUUCCAGGUGGUCCACAAUGCAUGUGUGCAUUUGGAACUGAUAACAAUAGUAUUAUAGUAAUCUGUGCAGAUGGUAGUUAUUAUAAAUUUGUGUUUAAUAAUAAAGGCGAAUGUACGAAAGAGUUUUAUGCACAGUUCCUUGAAUUAACUGAUGAUAAAAUGUGAUUGGAAAACGAAGAGAAGUGUUCAUUGCGUGGGUUCGGAAUGGAAUAGUUUAUAUGGAAACUGAAUAUUGUGUUUGUUAUUUGAAAUCAUAUUAUAUGGUAGAGGACCAAAUGAAAAGUACUAUUAUUUGUUGGUGUUAUGUGGACUGUGCAGACUAUCAAUGGCAAAAAAAAGGUUUAAGAAACGCUAGAGGGCCUAUUUCUGAGAUGUCUACUUACAGAACUAUAAGUUCUUAAAUGUUAUAAGCAGAGAAAGGAAUUCGAUGUUUAGAGUUCCGCUUAAUGUGUCGGUGUAAAAAAUAUCAGCCUUGCCACCAAGGGUAGCGAUAAAAGGGCAGUCUUGUUCUACCAGGAACAAAGAAAUCGUCAGCGCCGAUAUUAUCGUCAUCAUGACCAUCAUCCAGGGCGCCAUAAAGUGACGAUUGUUCUGUUGGAAAAAAUAACUUGUUUUAUCACGUAAUUACCUCUGCUUAUAACUACGUAAACUAUAAUUACCGUGAGCGCACCGUAUAAGAGUAGAAUAGUAGAAAUAAAAUGUAUCACUGUGAUCACUAGUCCACAGUACAUCGAAUAAACUGUUUCUAGAAGCAUAUGAAAGGGCUUCAAAAUUUUUGUGGAGAAAUAUGAUAAUAAACGAAACAAGGAAUGGUGGUAAUUAUUUAGAAAGCAAACUCUCUUUAGAAUUUCUAUGAUUUUUUGAUAUAUUAUAGCGAUCAAUAUUUUGAUCUACUUUUUCCUGUACAUAUAA
RNAcentral lists this unclassified non-coding RNA (1869 nucleotides) under Eufriesea mexicana. RNAcentral describes it as "wD repeat domain phosphoinositide-interacting protein 3, transcript variant X2". Lineage: Eukaryota; Metazoa; Arthropoda; Insecta; Hymenoptera; Apidae. The record is from RNAcentral.